AUAUAUACAUAUUUAUUUAUUUAUUUAUUUAUUUAUUUGGUUAGUAAGUUCGUAGAAUAUUCGGAUAUAAAGGCAACACUGAAACUUACGAACGACUUUUCGAGGCUUUUUUCGCGACUAAUUUGCCUCGAAAACGCACGCGAAAAUCGCCACUCAUACAAUUUUUGACAGUUGUUUUUCGAGGCUGGAAAAGUUUCGAGGUUUCGUGGUUUUCGAGCCACUUUCGAGCUUAAGGGAAUCCCCUAAAUAU
Rhagoletis zephyria (snowberry fruit fly) is the source of this 250-nucleotide long non-coding RNA. RefSeq lists it as uncharacterized. Lineage: Eukaryota; Metazoa; Arthropoda; Insecta; Diptera; Tephritidae. The record is from RefSeq and is a predicted model, not a curated record.